Molecule: ribosomal RNA, 301 nt
Filed under: uncultured bacterium
Lineage: Bacteria
Description: partial 16S ribosomal RNA
Rfam family: Bacterial small subunit ribosomal RNA
Source: RNAcentral
CAGCCGCCGCGGGAAUACGGAGGGGGCUAGCGUUGUUCGGAAUUACUGGGCGUAAAGCGCACGUAGGCGGCUUGGUAAGUUAGAGGUGAAAGCCUGGAGCUCAACUCCAGAAUUGCCUUUAAGACUGCCGAGCUAGCAGGUGAGAGAGGUAAGUGGAAUUCCGAGUGUAGAGGUGAAAUUCGUAGAUAUUCGGAAGAACACCAGUGGCGAAGGCGGCUUACUGGCUCAUACUGGACGCUGAGGUGCGAAAGCGUGGGGAGCAAACAAGAUUAGAUACCCCUGUAGUCCCUGUCUCUUAUAC